GAUGAACGCUGGCGGCGUGCCUAAUACAUGCAAGUCGAGCGAACGGACGAGAAGCUUGCUUCUCUGAUGUUAGCGGCGGACGGGUGAGUAACACGUGGAUAACCUACCUAUAAGACUGGGAUAACUUCGGGAAACCGGAGCUAAUACCGGAUAAUAUUUUGAACCGCAUGGUUCAAAAGUGAAAGACGGUCUUGCUGUCACUUAUAGAUGGAUCCGCGCUGCAUUAGCUAGUUGGUAAGGUAACGGCUUACAAGGCAACGAUGCAUAGCCGACCUGAGAGGGUGAUCGGCCACACUGGAACUGAGACACGGUCCAGACUCCUACGGGAGGCAGCAGUAGGGAAUCUUCCGCAAUGGGCGAAAGCCUGACGGAGCAACGCCGCGUGAGUGAUGAAGGUCUUCGGAUCGUAAAACUCUGCUAUUAGGGAAGAACAUAUGUGUAAGUAACUGUGCACAUCUUGACGGCACCUAAUCAGAAAGCCACGGCUAACUACAUG
RNAcentral lists this ribosomal RNA (496 nucleotides) under uncultured bacterium. RNAcentral's name for it is "partial 16S ribosomal RNA". It matches the Rfam family "Bacterial small subunit ribosomal RNA", at positions 28 to 507 of the family's 1533-position model. The record is from RNAcentral.